Molecule: ribosomal RNA, 818 nt
Filed under: Halopseudomonas sabulinigri
Lineage: Bacteria; Pseudomonadati; Pseudomonadota; Gammaproteobacteria; Pseudomonadales; Pseudomonadaceae
Description: bacterial SSU rRNA
Rfam family: Bacterial small subunit ribosomal RNA
Source: RNAcentral
GCAAGUCGAGCGGUAGAAGGAAGCUUGCUUCCUUUGAGAGCGGCGGACGGGUGAGUAAUGCCUAGGAAUCUGCCUGGUAGUGGGGGAUAACGUUCGGAAACGGACGCUAAUACCGCAUACGUCCUACGGGAGAAAGCAGGGGACCUUCGGGCCUUGCGCUAUCAGAUGAGCCUAGGUCGGAUUAGCUUGUUGGUGAGGUAAUGGCUCACCAAGGCGACGAUCCGUAACUGGUCUGAGAGGAUGAUCAGUCACACUGGAACUGAGACACGGUCCAGACUCCUACGGGAGGCAGCAGUGGGGAAUAUUGGACAAUGGGCGAAAGCCUGAUCCAGCCAUGCCGCGUGUGUGAAGAAGGUCUUAGGAUUGUAAAGCACUUUAAGUUGGGAGGAAGGGUUGUAGUUUAAUACGCUGCAAUCUUGACGUUACCGACAGAAUAAGCACCGGCUAACUCUGUGCCAGCAGCCGCGGUAAUACAGAGGGUGCAAGCGUUAAUCGGAAUUACUGGGCGUAAAGCGCGCGUAGGUGGCAAAGUAAGAUGGGUGUGAAAUCCCCGGGCUCAACCUGGGAACUGCAUCCAUAACUGCUUCGCUAGAGUACGGUAGAGGGUAGUGGAAUUUCCUGUGUAGCGGUGAAAUGCGUAGAUAUAGGAAGGAACACCAGUGGCGAAGGCGACUACCUGGACUGAUACUGACACUGAGGUGCGAAAGCGUGGGGAGCAAACAGGAUUAGAUACCCUGGUAGUCCACGCCGUAAACGAUGUCGGACUAGCCGUUGGAAUCCUUGAGAUUUUAGUGGCGCAGCUAACGCAUUAAGUGACC